Molecule: transfer RNA, 74 nt
Filed under: Planctomycetota bacterium
Lineage: Bacteria; Pseudomonadati; Planctomycetota
Also listed under: 1 other name
Description: tRNA-Cys
Rfam family: tRNA
About the family: Transfer RNA (tRNA) molecules are approximately 80 nucleotides in length. Their secondary structure includes four short double-helical elements and three loops (D, anti-codon, and T loops). Further hydrogen bonds mediate the characteristic L-shaped molecular structure. tRNAs have two regions of fundamental functional importance: the anti-codon, which is responsible for specific mRNA codon recognition, and the 3' end, to which the tRNAs corresponding amino acid is attached (by aminoacyl-tRNA synthetases). tRNAs cope with the degeneracy of the genetic code in two manners: having more than one tRNA (with a specific anti-codon) for a particular amino acid; and 'wobble' base-pairing, i.e. permitting non-standard base-pairing at the 3rd anti-codon position.
Source: RNAcentral
GGCGCCGUGGCCGAGUGGCUAGGCAACGGAUUGCAAAUCCGUGUACCGCGGUUCAAUUCCGCGCGGCGCCUCCA